RNAcentral lists this long non-coding RNA (508 nucleotides) under Drosophila guanche. The record is from RNAcentral. Lineage: Eukaryota; Metazoa; Arthropoda; Insecta; Diptera; Drosophilidae.
CAGUCACAAUCAUAAUCAAGUUCAAUCAAGUUUGUGUUUUUUACCAUAAAAUGUUAAAAAUUAAAUUAUUGUUUUUUGCAUUAGCUGUUCUGCAGGAUUGGCAUGGAAAUACCCUGAUUCGAGAUGAAUCUGAGCCAGAGCCAGAAGGCGUUACAGAGCCAAGGCCAGAGCCAGAGCCGGAGCCAUAGCCGGUGCCAUAUCCGGAGCCAGAGGUAGAGGAAGAGCCUAAGGAAGAGCCUGAAGACAAGCCAGACGAAGAUCCGGAUAAGAGCCGGAGGAAGAAAGAAGAACCUGAAGUUAGGCCUGAUCAAGAGGCGGAUGAAGAGCCUAAGGAAGAGCCAGAAUUUGAGGCGGAAAUAUAAUGAUUACUUUUUAGCAGACGGGUCAUGAUAAGGGGAAUGGUCAUAUCCGUGGGGGUACAUACAAGGGUUUGGCGUUUUUAAAUUUAAGUCAAUGUUACCUUGAAGGUGUUCAAAAGGUCAAAUGCAUAAUCAAUAAGUAUUUCCAG